Chanos chanos (milkfish) is the source of this 458-nucleotide long non-coding RNA. RefSeq lists it as uncharacterized. NCBI's taxonomy places the organism in Eukaryota, Metazoa, Chordata, Actinopteri, Gonorynchiformes, Chanidae. The transcript has 3 exons. The record is from RefSeq and is a predicted model, not a curated record.
UGUAUGUCUCAUUUUCUGUCGAGCAAACAUAAUGGUAAAUUAAGACAGCGUGGAGCUUGAGGGCAAUACGUGCCUAAUAUUUUGCUCUUCUGCCAAGAUUCACUUCUCAGGAAAAGUUCAUGAUGAAGGGCAACAAUUUCAGACCAAGGAUGAGGAGAUGGCAAAGCCUUCAGUUACGAUAUAAUUUCCAGAGCCUGGCAGAUCCUGAGGAGAGACAAUCUUGUGUACUUAAAGAGGGUCAUUCAGGUGCAAAACUACAGUCUCUCAGUCAUCACACUGACCUCCAACUCAGCUGACAGUCUGUGAUGAUGCCACAGGAUGUGUAGUGUCCAGAGCUCCACGGCAAACUUUAGCAGUACAGGAGGAUUGUGGAUUCUUCUGAGAUAAAACUACUAAUGUUGUUACAGGCACAAUAAGACUGUAAACAUAUGUCAGCAUAUAACAGUUUUAUAUGCCUA